Molecule: ribosomal RNA, 344 nt
Filed under: uncultured bacterium
Lineage: Bacteria
Description: bacterial SSU rRNA
Rfam family: Bacterial small subunit ribosomal RNA
Source: RNAcentral
AGGGUUCGAUUCUGGCUCAGGAUGAACGCUGGCGGCGUGCUUAACACAUGCAAGUCGAGCGGAGCGCCGCGCACGGAACCCACGGGGGAAGGGCGCAGCGACUUAGCGGCGGACGGGUGAGUAACGCGUGGGCAACCUGCCCCAUACCGGGGGAUAACAGCCAGAAAUGGCUGCUAAUACCGCAUAAGGCCGCGGCGGCGCAUGGCGCAGCGGCAAAAACUCCGGUGGUAUGGGAUGGGCCCGCGUCUGAUUAGCUAGUUGGCGGGGCAACGGCCCACCAAGGCGACGAUCAGUAGCCGGCCUGAGAGGGCGGACGGCCACAUUGGGACUGAGACACGGCCCAA